AGAAAACCUCAAUUUGAAUGAAUGUCGUAUUAAAUGUUCCAAUUCUUUUUUCUUAAUACAGUUCUGUUAGAUGUAGAUCGUCCAGCAACGUCAGACACAUACGCCAACAACUCUGGUUUAACCACCGCUGCAAAGAUUUUGGUCUCGUUACAGCAGGACUUAGAAUUAAGUCCACGUUGAACACACAAGAGGCUAUUCCGAUUGUCAAAUCCACCAGCAGACGACCGAUACGAGCGCGGAUUAACGACUGUCACAGACGAAUCAACUAUUACAUCAAGCAACAAGAACAAAGACUGAACAAAUUAAAGGAACUCAUACCAACGACAGUAAGUGACACUUUAUUUUCUACGAUAAAACUAUUGCAAAGAAACGAGCAAACAAGACAGAGACACAACACCAAAUAAAACAACAACAAAAACUUGAACGUUUAAAACGCAGUAAAACACGUACAAGAUAUAAACACGACGAUAACUGGGUGAGGAAUAUUUCUUUCCGCUCAUUAGACGAAACUGAAACUAAAACAUUCCAUAACACCUAAAAGAAUCCCGACUGAGACGAUGGUAUAUUAAGUGUCGAGGCUGUCGUAGCGCAUCAUAGAUACUUGUCAGAGACAACCAAAGACGAGAUCAGAAGCAAGGUAGCCUCCGCUUUACAAUCGUCCUCUACACGUGACAAAAACUUGACAAAGGACGAGCAACAAGCACUCAAACGACUAAAACACGACAAAACAUCGUCAUUUUACCAGGUUAGGUUAGGUUAGGUUAGGUUAAAAGGUUUUUAUUAUUCAUCUUCAGAUUAAAAAGUACGAUGAAUUUACAUUGAUUUUCUAUAUAUUUAUCAUACUAUACUAAGA
Molecule: long non-coding RNA, 853 nt
Organism: Xenia sp. Carnegie-2017
Lineage: Eukaryota; Metazoa; Cnidaria; Anthozoa; Malacalcyonacea; Xeniidae
Exons: 2
Source: RefSeq, a predicted model, not a curated record